This 518-nucleotide ribosomal RNA is filed under the name Rhampholeon sp. 3 DFH-2017. Its description in RNAcentral is "partial 16S ribosomal RNA". It matches the Rfam family "Bacterial large subunit ribosomal RNA", at positions 1808 to 2610 of the family's 2925-position model. The record is from RNAcentral. Lineage: Eukaryota; Metazoa; Chordata; Lepidosauria; Squamata; Chamaeleonidae.
CAAAAACAUAGCUUCUAGCCAAACAACCAUUAGAAGUAACGCCUGCCCUGUGGAUCUUCCUAAACGGCCGCGGCACCAAAACCGUGCAAAGGUAGCACAAUCACUUGUCCCUUAAAUGAGGACUCGUAUGAAAGGCAACACGAGAGAAAACCUGUCUCCUAAGACCAGCCAAUGAAAUUGAACUGCUAGUUCAAAAGCUAGCAUACUAAAGCAAGACAAAAAGACCCCGUGGAACUUAAAUAUCCUGCUUACACGAACUAAGCAACAAUUUUAGUUGGGACAACUUCAGAAAAAUUUAACUUCUGACACCUCCAAGACCAACAAGUCUAAGACAUGGCCUGGACCCAGUUACACUGAUUAAUGAAAUAAGCUACCCCGGGGAUAACAGCGCCACCUUCUCAAAAAGUUCAUAUUAACAAGAAGAUCUACGACCUCGAUGUUGGAUCGGGAUACCCAGACGGUGCAACAGCUGUCAAAGGUUCGUUUGUUCAACGACUAACACCCCACGUGAUCUGAGU